This 107-nucleotide small nuclear RNA is filed under the name Carlito syrichta (Philippine tarsier). The record is from RNAcentral. Lineage: Eukaryota; Metazoa; Chordata; Mammalia; Primates; Tarsiidae.
GCACUUACUUAGGCAGUACAUAUACUAAAAAUUGGAAUGAUACAGAGAAGAUUAAUCUAUCCCUGUGCAAAAAUGAAAGGCAGAUUUGUGAAGCAUUCCACAUUUUU